Molecule: ribosomal RNA, 497 nt
Filed under: uncultured bacterium
Lineage: Bacteria
Description: partial 16S ribosomal RNA
Rfam family: Bacterial small subunit ribosomal RNA
Source: RNAcentral
GAUGAACGCUGGCGGCGUGCCUAAUACAUGCAAGUCGAGCGAACAGACGCGGAGUUUGCUCCUCUGACGUUAGCGGCGGACGGGUGAGUAACACGUGGAUAACCUACCUAUAAGACUGGGAUAACUUCGGGAAACCGGCGCUAAUACCGGAUAAUAUAUUGAACGGCAGGGUUGAGUAGUGAAAUACGGUUUUGGUGUCACUUAUAGAUGGAUCCUCGCCGUAUUAGCUAGUUGGUAAGGUAACGGCUUACCAAGGCAACGAUGCGUAGCCGACGUGAGCGGGUGAACGCCCACACUGGAACUGUGACACGGUCCAGACUCCUACGGGAGGCCGCAGUACGGAAUCGUGCGAGAUGGGCGGAAGCCUGAAGGAGCAGCGCCGCGUGAGUGAUGCAGGUCUUCGGAUCGUAAAACUCUGUUAUUGUGGAAAAACAAUUGUGUAAGUAACUAUGCGCGUCUUGACGGUACCUAAUCAGAAAGCAACGGCUAACUACGUG